AGCCCCCACCUCCCUCCAGGAGGUCCAUGGGGCCAGGGUCAGCUCUGUCCUGAGUGUGGAGGGGGUGUCCUGGCAUCCCACCCCCCGGCAGAGGCUCUUGUGGGAAGUGACGAGGGCGGGGCCUGGAGGUCAGAUGGCAGACUCCCUGCGGUAGGAGAUGUUGUCCAGAGGGAGGGUGGCUUGCAUGCGCUCCAGAUCCAGGUGGCUGCCAAACUCCAGCAUUCGGAUGAUGCCCGCCUCCUCCUUGGAGCCCGCCUCCAGGCCCAGGCCUGCGGCCACGGCAGCAGCGGCUGCCGCCUCCUCCUCCAUCUCCUCUUCCUCCUGGCUCAUGAGGGCCAGCUCAUUCUCGUAGCAGAAGGCACUGGGCGGGGGCGGCGGGGCAGGCAGCACGGUGAUCUUGCUCUCCUGAAGCUCCCGGGCGGAGCAGCAGGGCGUGCCGGCCACCUCGUAGGUCUUGUGGAAGCGCGAGUAGUCCACCUUGUAGUGGCUCUUCUCCUCGAAGACCACGGGCUCGAAGCGGUGGCCCCACAGGAUCUCGCUGGCCAGGUAGGAGCUGCGGGCCUGGGUGGUCAUGGCGGUGGCCUCCACCAUGCCCUCGAGGAUGACCACGAUCUCAAAGUCCUCCGACUCCAGCUCCUCCUUGCCCAUGCCAUAGAGCGGGCUGUCCUCGUCGAUCUCGUGGACGAUGAUGAUGGGCGACACCAGGAAGAUGCGGUCCAGGCCGAUGUCGUAGCCCACGUUGAGGUCCCGCUGGUCCAGCGGCAGGUACUCGCCCUCCUGGGUCAUGUAGGGCUUGAUGAGCUGGGCCCGCACGUGGGCCUCCACGAUGUGGCUCUUGCGCAGGUUGCCCACGCGCCACAUCAGGCAGAGCUUGCCGUCGCGCACCGAGAUGACCGCGUGGUGGCUGAACAGCAGCGUCUGCGCCCGCUUCUUGGGCCGGGCCAUCUUGGCCAUUAUGGUGCCGAUCAUGAAGGAGUCGAUGACGCAGCCCACGAUGGACUGGACCACCACGGCGAUGACCGCCAGCGGGCACUCCUCCGUCACGCACCGGAACCCGUAGCCGAUGGUCGUCUGCGUCUCCACCGAGAACAGGAAGGCGCCCAGGAAGCCGUUCACGUGCAUGAUGCAGGGCUUGGGGGCCGUCGGGGCCGCCGCGCCACUGCCCGUCGGGGCCCCCGCCGCCGCCGCUGCCGCCGCCGCCGCCGGGCCAGCCUCCAGGUCGCCGUGGAAGAAGGCGAUACACCAGAAGAGGAGGCCAAAGAAGAGCCAGGAGACGAGGAAGGCCGCGGAGAAGAUCAUGAGCAUGUAGCGCCAGCGCGUGUCCACGCAGGUGGUGAAGAUGUCCGCCAUGUAGCGCUGCGACUUGUUGCUCAGGUUGGCGAAGUAGACGUUGCAUUGGCCGUUCUUCUUGACGAAGCGGUUGCGGCGUUUCCGCCGGGGCACGUGGGCCUGCCCGUUGCGGCUGUGUCCGUGCAUGUCCUGAGGCCGGCGUGGUCACCUGGGAAGACGCAGGGCCUGGGGAGGAGAAGCCCGACAGGUGAGAUGCCGGCUCAGAAAGGGAAGGGCCGGGCCUAA
RNAcentral lists this long non-coding RNA (1575 nucleotides) under Canis lupus familiaris (dog). Its description in RNAcentral is "lncRNA (ENSCAFG00845023986.1)". Lineage: Eukaryota; Metazoa; Chordata; Mammalia; Carnivora; Canidae. The record is from RNAcentral.